This 62-nucleotide transfer RNA is filed under the name Carea varipes. RNAcentral describes it as "tRNA-Cys". Lineage: Eukaryota; Metazoa; Arthropoda; Insecta; Lepidoptera; Nolidae. The record is from RNAcentral.
AGCCUUAUAUUCAAUUAUGAUAUAAAAUUGCAAAUUUUAAGGAGCAAAAAAUGCUAAGGCUU